This 76-nucleotide transfer RNA is filed under the name Ictidomys tridecemlineatus (thirteen-lined ground squirrel). RNAcentral's name for it is "Spermophilus tridecemlineatus (thirteen-lined ground squirrel) tRNA". It matches the Rfam family "tRNA". From Rfam's summary of the family: Transfer RNA (tRNA) molecules are approximately 80 nucleotides in length. Their secondary structure includes four short double-helical elements and three loops (D, anti-codon, and T loops). RNAcentral also lists the same sequence under 1 other name. The record is from Rfam by way of RNAcentral. Lineage: Eukaryota; Metazoa; Chordata; Mammalia; Rodentia; Sciuridae.
GGGGUUGUGGCUCAGUGGUAGAGCACUCGCCUAGCAUGUGCAGGGAGGGCCCUGGGUUCAAUCCUCAGCACCACCU